ACCCCCUGUCAAAGGGCAAGGAGACACCUGAUUGGUGGUGUUGCUCUUAUAUGAAUUAGGAGCAAAGCAGAUGUACAGUCCUUAGUUCAUUCUAGUUUGAUGUCUGUGUCGGUGGCUAGAGCUCUUGCAUGCCUAAGGCACAUAU
Molecule: non-coding RNA, 145 nt
Organism: Myotis davidii
Lineage: Eukaryota; Metazoa; Chordata; Mammalia; Chiroptera; Vespertilionidae
Source: Rfam